AUACACUUUUGUUUUCCUCAAUUUGUAUCAAUCUUUUUGCAGAAGGUAGUGUUGAAGAUAAUGACAAUGAAUGAUGAGAAGACAAAGCAGAAAGCAAUAGAAGCUGCCGCUGAUAUCUAUGGAGUAGAUUCAAUCGCAGCUGAUCUGAACGAGCAUAAGCUGACUGUUAUUGGAGAUAUGGAUCCAGUUGCUGUAGCUAAAAAACUCAAGAAAAUAGGAAAAGUUGAAAUGUUAGCAGUUGGCCCGGCAAAAGAAGAAUAGAAAGAGGAAAAAAUAGAGGAAAAGAAAGGAUAGAAGCAAAUUAAGCAAUUCCAUGAUGCUAUAGCUUACAGUGAAAUGCGUAUGGAUGGUUUAGAACAAAAAAUUUUCAAUAAAAAUUUAAAAACCAGUCAGUUAUAUAAAUCUCAAUUAUAGUUUAUUGAUUACAGGAUGAAAUUUUGUAUCUCUCUCAAAAUUUAAUCGGCUAAUAAUAACACUGUAAGAUGUUAAA
Molecule: long non-coding RNA, 490 nt
Organism: Mangifera indica (mango)
Lineage: Eukaryota; Viridiplantae; Streptophyta; Magnoliopsida; Sapindales; Anacardiaceae
Exons: 2
Source: RefSeq, a predicted model, not a curated record